Molecule: long non-coding RNA, 1512 nt
Filed under: Mytilus galloprovincialis (Mediterranean mussel)
Lineage: Eukaryota; Metazoa; Mollusca; Bivalvia; Mytilida; Mytilidae
Source: RNAcentral
AAAAACGUUUAUCGACAGGUUGUAGGUAUCCCCAUGGGCACUAAUUGUGCCCCUUUAAUAGCAGACUUGUUUUUGUACUGUUACGAAUCACAGUUUAUGACUAAACUCAGUAAAGACCCGUCGAAAUUGCAUUUAAUUGAUAAAUUCAACAACACUUACCGUUAUCUUGAUGAUAUUUUUUCGUUAAAUAAUCAAGAAUUUUCUCAAUAUACUGCUGAAAUUUACCCCCAAGGAACUUACUUUAAAUAAAUCAAAUUUAUUCGGUAAUAACUGUCCUUUCCUGGAUUUAGAUAUUUCGGUUUUAAAUGGGAAACUCCACACUAAAAUUUACGACAAAAGAGACGAUUUUUCGUUCCCUAUUGUUAAUUUUCCAUUUUUUAGAUGGUGAUGUUACUUUGGCACCAUCUUACGGUGUUUAUAUUUCACAACUUGUUCGCUAUGCCCGUGUCUGUUGUGACGUUUUUGAUUUUAAUGAACGCAACCUAUGUAUUACUGGUAAAUUAUUAAACCAGGGAUAUCGUUACCAUAAAUUACUGAAAACCUUUACUAAAUUUUUCCAUAGAUAUAAAGAUUUGGUUUUGAAGUUUGGAUGUACCUGUAGAAAACUUAUUUCAAACGGGAUAGCACAUCCUUAUUUUUACGGAAAUGUUGUUAACCGUGCCCGUAAACUUGUCGCUCCUUUAAAAAAACUUAUUCUAAAAGGUUACCUAUUCAACACCGUAAUAAGAUCAUUGAAUAUUGUUUUUAUUGGAAUAAAUAUUGAUUUUGUUAUCAGUAGAUUAAAAGCUAACUAAAUUUUACUAGUAUGUUAUAUAUAUACAUAUUCAUGGAUCUACAAUCUGUCGAUACCUGUAACUUGGCAUUGCACAAGGUCAUGUGUUUUUUCUCUGGCUGUUUAUGAUGUCUUUACACUAAAUCCAUUGGAUGUUGGAUGUGUACGGAUUGAUAGUUUAGUCUUAGAUGCAUGAUUUUUUUUAUUAGUUGUUAGUGGCUUUGAACGAGCUGUCAGAUAACUGCGAGUACUCUCAGAUCUGUUCAUUGUGUCUUUUUGUGUCGGGAUGUAUAAGUACCCGGCCACGUCCACUUAUAUUUUUGUCCAUCUGAUGAGUUAAGCCUUUUUCAACUGAUUUUUAUAGUUCGUUCUUAUGUUGUACUGUUAUACCACUGUCCCAGGUUAGGGGGAGGGUUGGGAUCCCCCGCUAACAUGUUUAACCCCGCCACAUUAUUUAUGUAUGUGCCUGUCCCAAGUCAGGAGCCUGUAUAUUCAGUGGUUGUCGUUUGUUUAUGUGUUACAUAUUUGUUUUUCGUUCAUUUUUUUACAUAAAUGAGGCCGUUAGUUUUCUCGUUUGAAUUGUUUUACAUUGUCUUAUCGGGGCCUUUUAUAGCUGACUAUGCGGUAUGGGCUUUGCUCAUUGUUGAAGGCCGUACGGUGACCUAUAGUUGUUAAUGUCUGUGUCAUUUUGGUCUUUUGCGGAUAGUUGUCUCAUUGGCAAUCUUACCACAUCUUCUUUU